This 274-nucleotide ribosomal RNA is filed under the name uncultured bacterium. RNAcentral describes it as "partial 16S ribosomal RNA". It matches the Rfam family "Bacterial small subunit ribosomal RNA", at positions 523 to 796 of the family's 1533-position model. The record is from RNAcentral.
CUACGGAGGGUGCGAGCGUUAAUCGGAAUCACUGGGCGUAAAGGACGCGUAGGCGGGUUGGCAAGUCAGAUGUGAAAUCCUACAGCUUAACUGUAGAACUGCAUUUGAAACUGCUAACCUAGAGUAUGGGAGGGGGAGAUGGAAUUAGUGGUGUAGGGGUAAAAUCCGUAGAUAUCACUAGGAAUACCGAAAGCGAAGGCGAUCUCCUGGAACAUAACUGACGCUAAGGCGUGAAAGCGUGGGGAGCAAACAGGAUUAGAUACCCCAGUAGUCC